GCAGUAAGGAAUAUUGGUCAAUGGAGGCAACUCUGAACCAGCCAUGCCGCGUGCAGGAAGACGGCCCUAUGGGUUGUAAACUGCUUUUAUCUGGGAAUAAACCUAUUUACGUGUAAGUAGCUGAAUGUACCAGAAGAAUAAGGAUCGGCUAACUCCGUGCCAGCAGCCGCGGUAAUACGGAGGAUCCAAGCGUUAUCCGGAUUUAUUGGGUUUAAAGGGUGCGUAGGCGGCAGUUUAAGUCAGAGGUGAAAGACGGUAGCUCAACUAUCGCAGUGCCUUUGAUACUGAAUUGCUUGAAUGAACUAGAGGUAGGCGGAAUGAGACAAGUAGCGGUGAAAUGCAUAGAUAUGUCUCAGAACACCGAUUGCGAAGGCAGCUUACUAUGGUUUUAUUGACGCUGAGGCACGAAAGCGUGGGGAUCAAACAGGAUUAGA
Molecule: ribosomal RNA, 434 nt
Filed under: uncultured bacterium
Lineage: Bacteria
Description: bacterial SSU rRNA
Rfam family: Bacterial small subunit ribosomal RNA
Source: RNAcentral